AUUGAACGCUGGCGGCAUGCCUUACACAUGCAAGUCGAACGGCAGCGGACCUUCGGGUGCCGGCGAGUGGCGAACGGGUGAGUAAUAUAAUCGGAACGUACCUUUCAGUGGGGGAUAACGUAGCGAAAGUUACGCUAAUACCGCAUAUUCUGUGAGCAAGAAAGCAGGGGAUCGCAAGACCUUGCGCUGAUUGAGCGGCCGAUAUCAGAUUAGCUAGUUGGUGAGUAAAGGCUCACCAAGGCGACGAUCUGUAGCGGGUCUGAGAGGAUGAUCCGCCACACUGGAACUGAGACAGGUCCAGACUCCUACGGAGGCAGCAGUGGGGAAUUUUGGACAAUGGGCGCAAGCCUGAUCC
RNAcentral lists this ribosomal RNA (355 nucleotides) under uncultured bacterium. Its description in RNAcentral is "bacterial SSU rRNA". It matches the Rfam family "Bacterial small subunit ribosomal RNA", at positions 30 to 389 of the family's 1533-position model. The record is from RNAcentral.